AUCACACAAGCAGAUGUUCAAGGCUACUGUUGGUGGUGCUGAAAUGUAGCAAUCUCUUGACAGUUUAGUGAGCUCAUGACCAGAGGAUCUGUCUUAUGCAAAGGUCAGAGAAGGCUUCCCUGAUAAAGGAAGGUCAUCCAAGAUGUGCAAAGAGUAGCAAAAAAUUUCGGUCGCCAGGCAUAAACAUUUCCCACAGAGACUGAACUGGGGCAGUCUGUCUUCUUGUUUCAGCACUCAUAAGGUGUUACACCACAGUGAACUUUUAGUGCUGGCUUCCGUCUCAGCAUCUGCUUCCCAGAGAAAUCAAUGAGAAUGAUCUCUUAUCCUAUCAAGGAUCAUUUUACCUCCUUCUCACCAAAUGUUACACAUCAGUGAGCAGCACUGCCUAGGAGAUAACAGGAAGCCGGGUUUCACAGCAGCCAUCCUAACCAACUAAUUCUGUGAUGAUUGAGAGACUGUGAGUGACCCGAUUGGCCAGACCCUUACUGAACCCAACUGACAACUGUGUCCUGAUUAAAGGGGAAUGAAAUUUGUUUUCACAAUCCCAUAUAGACCUAUAAACUUGUCCUGACCUGUCAAGAGUGCCAGUUUUCAAACUGCCAUUAGCAAACCACUGUGAAACCACCCACAAAAGCCUUACAUUUUAGGCUUUUCAUUUUAUGUUUACUAUGAAACAUUAAAGAAUGCAUGAAUAUAGAAAUGGAAAUUGGUCCCUUUUCACCGAUCACAAACUUUGUACCUCAAUUCUUAAAGUCAGGGAUGUUUAACUCAGCCAGCCACCUAGCUAGGGUCUGUAACAAACAGUUGGUUAUUUUUCACCCUUUGUCUACUCAAAAUUAAGAAAGUAAAGACGAUAAAAACAAUAUUCUACAGAAAAAAAAGACAAAUGUUAAAAAAGUAAUAAAAGAGAACUUUCUUUCAUAUUCAUGUGAGAAGGAUAGAUGUUUAGAAAUAAAGAAUAAAAUUUGUGUGAGGGAUGCCUCUUGCAUUUUAAGAAUUAGAAGAGGUGAUUGGUAAAACUGUAGACAUGGACGAGCUGGUUUUCCAAGGCACGGGAUCAGCUACAAGUACAUAGAAAAGGUCCCUCAUAUAAAAACAAUUAUGUCAAGGUGAAUUUGUGUGUAUUAUAUAUGUACUAAAUGAUGUGUACAUGCAACUGGUUGUUACAGGAAAAAGGAAAAACAGAAAAAAACUGAAAAAAUUACAUGAAAAAAAUGUAUCAAGAACCCACAGUAGUUGUAAAUAGCAUGAUACUGUUAUUGAGUACCUGAAAUCAAUUGCAGAUUGACAUGAGGAGGAGCUCAAUGUAACUUCUCCCAGAGAUGAUCACAGAACUUAAAGAGGCUGAAUUCAUAGAACAGCUUCUGUGUAGAAGUCACUCUAUAGUUCCUCCCAGAGGAGGGGACUGACUUUUCAAUUUGUCCAUUGGGCCAUGCUCGGACCACAGUACUUGAAACAGAACCUUAGGAAAAUGCAUCAUAUUUUAAUUCUGAACCAAGAGUUGGCUCAUUUUUAAAGAUACCAUGCUUAGUUUUCAUUUAUUCAGAUUUAGGUAAAGGGUUCAAUAUUCAGGUCAGGAUUUGAAAUGGGCAUCAGGAAGGUGCCCUUAGGUGAGGAAGAUUUGUGAUGUGGGCAACUUCUUGCUAAUAAAAGCCUUCAGUUCAACCUGUACUGGUUCAAGAACUUCUGAAGUUUUACAGAGGCUUGCCUGGAAUCUGGGAUGAGGGCCUGGGGUUGAGGUCAGGCAGCUUCGUGAACGGAGAAGUGUUGUGCUAAUGGGGUUGCUUGAGGGAGGACAAUGAUAUCCACCUUUUUUCAAUAUUUUGCCUAAGGCCACCCUGGCCCUGCCAUUCAAAAUCACCUUUUCUGUCAUUUUGGCGUUUGUGGUACAUUGCAGAACCCUGACUUAGGCCAGGAGGCCAUUUAGGAAAUUAUUCCUGACAUUUUGUUUUAAAUUAAUAAAAUACAUAAAAUAGGGUUCCUUGUAAUAGAUCUCACACAUCAAGCAUAAGUAGAUCGCAUUAUUUAUUUUUAAAUGACAUAUGCUGUAGCUCAGUUUUGUAGAAUUCAAGAAUAUACUUCAUCUUUUGUGUAGGUAAUUUCAUUCAAUUUCCCAGUCCCCUCUUUCAUUUUGGAGAAAUAAAAUUUGUGUUUUAUGUCUAUAUACACUCUCCAAUGGGGCAAUUCAAAAAUAAAAGUGCAUCCUUAACACUGCAUUUCUUUGCUUUUGGCCUGCACUAGAACUUUUCCCUCAUUUCAAUGUAGCUUUUGUAUGGGUGAAUGCAAUAAAAAAGGUAAUAAACUUAAUAAAUGGUUCAAUUGCAUGAGUGCACCUGUGUGUUACCUUCAUCCUCAUUAUCCAUUUCCUCAGACAUUGUCCAUUACCUCGUGUUGGUCACAGAACCCUAUUGUAAGUCUAAUACAUAGUGCAAUAAAAAUAAAUAAUCUGAGAAAAUAUUACAGUGCAAACUGAAAAUAGUUUUGUUGUAAAUUUAUGCACAUUUUUAUCCACUCUGCUAAGUACAAGGAUGCUGUCAGUGUACUGUUCUCUUUAUAUCUCCCAUAGGAGUGAGACCCAAAUCCUUAUUUCUUAUGAGCUUCAUUCAAAUAUAUAUUACAGGGGCUCCAUGCCCGUGGUUGUUUUCUCAGUAGAAUUCCUGAAAACUGAUUCAGACAAUAGUGUGUGCGUGUGUGCGCAGGUAUGUAAAAAUGUGAUGUCCGAGAUGACCCUCUAAAUCCAUGCCUACGUACUCACAGAAAAAUAGAAAAUAGUAGGUAUUUUAUUCAAGCAAUUCAGGCACUAAAUGCAUAUUUGCCCUGAUAUCUGUAGAUACGAAAAAAACUGUAUUCUGCUUGAAACUUUUGAAUAAUAGAUAUAUUUUCAAACUGAGCUGACUGUGUGAACUUCAAAUUUUUGUGGGUUUAUAAAGGGCAGAGUUUCCUAGGAUGUUUACUGCUAAAUUGCAUAUCACGUAUUGGCAUGAUAUGAAGAACGGACUCACCUCUCAUGCCUUGCUAGUUUAAAAUACUUUACAUGCUUUUAGCCAAAGAUAAUUUUAAAACCAAAUAUGCCCUCUAAUUCGUAGAUGCAAAACUGUGUUUUCCAGCUCUCUUUUACACAGGGUCUGUUGGCAGCUGCGUGAUAGUAUACUCAUUAAUAUCUUUGACAGUUCAUAGUUGUCAAUCACACCAGAUUUUCACAAGCUGCUUACAUGGCCUGAGAAAUGCACAGAAAUGAAGAGGUGAUCCCAGACUGACAGAUCAUUUCAGGUGGCUUGAGUAGACUUUAAUUGACUCUUGGUUUGCUGUCUAUACUGCUCUCCAAGGAAUGCACGAAUUAAUGAAGCUACUUAAUAAAAAUCUUGGCUAGAUCUUAUCUGUUUCUGCCACUAACCAAUAGAGCAUAUUUACACUACACAUAUUUUACAUCCAGGCAUUCAGUUUUUGGAUUGCUUGUGUAGAGAACAUGAUUUACUCCCCCUUUACAAAAUUUUAGUUCUGUUAACUAUAAACAGGACAGUGGGUAGCCAGGACAAUGAAUAACCUCUGCAAACAACGAAAAUAUAAAGACAAUGUCCACAUGUAUAGGAAAUAGCACAUACAAAGUGAAAUUUAAAGUAGGAAAUAUGUAGACAAUUUCCCAGUAAGUUCAAGUAAUCUCUAUUCUGAUUUAGAGGUAAAAACUCAUUCUAACUUUUAGGGGGAAAAUGCUUCUCUCCAACCUUCUUUUGGGAUAUUUAAAACUAUUUUAUUGGCAAUAAAAACUGCCUCUUUUGUAGGAAAAUGCAUAAUAUUUUAAUUCGGAACCAAGAUUUGGGUCAUUUUUAGAGAUACCAUGGUAGGCAUACAAGUGCAGAGUCUAGUGUACUGGUCUCUGCACUGAGUACCAAGCACACAUUAGUCCUUGCUUAUCUGUCCAACCCUACAGAGUAAAGAUCAUUGCUCUCAUUUUUCAGAUGAGGACCUUUAUACUUAGACAAAUGAAAUGACUGGACCAAGUCCAUAAAUGUAGUGGUUGGUAGACAAAGGACACAAACCCAAGCUGUUUGGAUCUCAAACUCUUGAUCUUUGCCGGGGUAUCAUGGUGCCUCCUGAAGUCUUUUCAGUCAAGGUAAAAACCAUCGGUUUCAUUUCUUGAGGGAGUGCUCUUGCUUGAAGGGUUUACCGGCCACUGCUUUUUGCUCUGUGUGGCUGCUUUGUGCCUUUCAGGUUUGAUUUCCUAUAUUUUAGUUCCUCUUCGUUUCACCAAGUUAAAGUACAGCUCUAAUUACAAUGACUACAUUACUACAUCAAUUUCUAGAUGUAAAAGGCAUCCUUAUAAAUGUUCAUAAAUACUUCUGACUUUCAAAAUAAUGCAAAGCGAUGGAACAUAGUUAAUGCUUCAUUAGCUAAAUGCUAUGCAAAAUUUGUUAUUAGGCUGUCCUGAGAACAUUUUUUGGAGCAAAUUACCUAUCAGCAUUUUAUUUGAUAACUCUAAAAUGAAUUUUCUGCAGUAAGCUAUGAUGUUGCCAAAAUAUGUAGAAAAUUUGUGCUCAACAUUAUUAAAUAUUUGAAU
RNAcentral lists this long non-coding RNA (4555 nucleotides) under Homo sapiens (human). RNAcentral's name for it is "HSALNT0374884". The record is from RNAcentral. Lineage: Eukaryota; Metazoa; Chordata; Mammalia; Primates; Hominidae.